GAGGUUGGCUUCGGCCAGCCUAGUGGCGGACGGGUGAGUAAUGCGUGGGAAUCUGCCUCGUAGUGGGGGAUAACGUAGGGAAACUUACGCUAAUACCGCAUACGCUCUACGGAGGAAAGGGGGGGAUCUUCGGACCUCUCGCUAUGAGAUGAGCCCACGUCUGAUUAGCUAGUUGGUGGGGUAAAGGCCUACCAAGGCGACGAUCAGUAGCCGGCCCGAGAGGGUGGACGGCCACACUGGGACUGAGACACGGCCCAGACUCCUACGGGAGGCAGCAGGGGGGAAUAUUGGAUAAUGGGCGAAAGCCUGAUCCAGCAAUGCCGCGUGUGUGAAGAAGGCCUGCGGGUUGUAAAGCACUUUAAGUGGGGAAGAACGGGAUUGCGCUAAUACCGUGAUCCUUUGACGUUACCCACAGAAUAAGCACCGGCUAACUCCGUGCCAGCAGCCGCGGUAAUACGGAGGGUGCGAGCGUUAAUCGGAAUUACUGGGCGUAAAGCGCAUGUAGGCGGUUUGGUAAGUCGGAUGUGAAAUCCC
RNAcentral lists this ribosomal RNA (534 nucleotides) under uncultured bacterium. RNAcentral's name for it is "bacterial SSU rRNA". It matches the Rfam family "Bacterial small subunit ribosomal RNA", at positions 68 to 603 of the family's 1533-position model. The record is from RNAcentral.